GUAAUUUUUAGCUCCAGAAUUUCUUUCAGGUUUCCUUUUAGGUCUUUUCUUUAUUGAUAUUUUCAUUUUGUGCAUACAUUGUUUUCUUGACUUUCCCAACAUCUUUCUUUAGUUCUAUGUACAUCUUUAAGAAAGUAUGUUUUAAAUACAUCUUCAAUGUCUUUUAU
Sapajus apella (tufted capuchin) is the source of this 167-nucleotide long non-coding RNA. RefSeq lists it as uncharacterized. The transcript is spliced from 3 exons. The record is from RefSeq and is a predicted model, not a curated record. NCBI's taxonomy places the organism in Eukaryota, Metazoa, Chordata, Mammalia, Primates, Cebidae.